ACGGGAGGCAGCAGUGGGGAAUAUUGCACAAUGGGCGCAAGCCUGAUGCAGCGAUGCCGCGUGAGGGAAGAAGGUUUUCGGAUUGUAAACCUCUGUCAACAGGGACGAAAAUGACGGUACCUGUGAAGGAAGCUCCGGCUAACUACGUGCCAGCAGCCGCGGUAAUACGUAGGGAGCAAGCGUUAUCCGGAUUUAUUGGGUUUAAAGGGUGCGUAGGCUGUGCCGCAAGUCAGUGGUGAAAGCCCGGGGCUUAACUCCGGAACUGCCAUUGAUACUGUGGUGCUGGAAUACGGAUGCCGUGGGAGGAAUGAGUAGUGUAGCGGUGAAAUGCAUAGAUAUUACUCAGAACACCGAUUGCGAAGGCAUCUCACGAAUCCGUCAUUGACGCUGAGGCACGAAAGCGUGGGGAUCAAACAGGAUUAGAUACCCUGGUA
Molecule: ribosomal RNA, 434 nt
Filed under: uncultured bacterium
Lineage: Bacteria
Description: partial 16S ribosomal RNA
Rfam family: Bacterial small subunit ribosomal RNA
Source: RNAcentral